Molecule: ribosomal RNA, 576 nt
Filed under: Lissarca notorcadensis
Lineage: Eukaryota; Metazoa; Mollusca; Bivalvia; Arcoida; Philobryidae
Description: eukaryotic LSU rRNA
Rfam family: Eukaryotic large subunit ribosomal RNA
Source: RNAcentral
GGAGCCUCAAUACACGCAGUUCAACCGUCACCGCUCGGUCCUUUCUCGGUAGAGCGCCCGACCGUGUUCCGGCAGUCGAAGCCGGCUGGGAAGGGACCACCUUCUGUCAAAAGGAGGGGGUGUUAUAGCCAUGCCGCGUGGAGCUUGCUGGGAGACCGAGGAAAUGCCGUGUCCCGCCUGCCUUCGGCCCUCGUCGUUCGAUCAAAUUGAGUGUACUGCUUGCAGUGCUCUCUAAGCGCGGAUUUGGCGAUCGGCUGGAUGGCACGGGUGCACUCAGGGUCAGUGGCGAAUCGGUCGGCCCUCCACCCGACCCGUCUUGAAACACGGACCAAGGAGUCUAACAUGUGCGCGAGUCAUGGGGUUCUACGAAACCUAAAGGCACAAUGAAAGUGAAGGCAGCCUCGGGUUUUGCCUAGGUAGGAUCCUCUCCUCCGGGGAGAGGUGCACUACCGGCCCGUCUCGUCCGCCAUUGGUCGGUGAGGCGGAGCAAGAGCGUACACGUUGGGACCCGAAAGAUGGUGAACUAUGCCUGAGUAGGACGAAGCCAGAGGAAACUCUGGUGGAGGUCCGUAGCGA